RNAcentral lists this small RNA (127 nucleotides) under Marmota monax (woodchuck). The record is from RNAcentral. Lineage: Eukaryota; Metazoa; Chordata; Mammalia; Rodentia; Sciuridae.
GCUGGGCAUGGUAGUGCACGCUUGUAAUCCCAGCGACCUGGGAGGCUGAGGCAGGAGGAUCGCAAGUUCAAGGUCAGUCUUAGCAACUUAGGGAGGCCCUCAGCGAUUUAUUGAGACCCUGUCUUAA